GGAAUAUUGGACAAUGGGCGCAAGCCUGAUCCAGCAAUGCCGCGUGUGUGAAGAAGGCCUUCGGGUUGUAAAGCACUUUUAUCAGGAAAGAAAUCCGCUGGGUUAAUACCUUGGCGGGAUGACGGUACCUGAGGAAUAAGCACCGGCUAACUUCGUGCCCGCAGCCGCGGUAAUACGAAGGGUGCAAGCGGUAAUCGGAAUUACUGGGCGUAAAGCGUGCGUAGGUGGUUUGUUAAGUCUGCUGUGAAAGCCCUGGGCUCAACCUGGGAAUUGCAGUGGAUACUGGCGAGCUAGAGUGCGGUAGAGGGUUGUGGAAUUCCCGGUGUAGCAGUGAAAUGCGUAGAUAUCGGGAGGAACACCAGUGGCGAAGGCGGCAACCUGGACCAGCACUGACACUGAGGCACGAAAGCGUGGGGAGCAAAC
This 423-nucleotide ribosomal RNA is filed under the name uncultured bacterium. RNAcentral describes it as "bacterial SSU rRNA". It matches the Rfam family "Bacterial small subunit ribosomal RNA", at positions 358 to 773 of the family's 1533-position model. The record is from RNAcentral.